AGUGAACGCUGGCGGUAGGCCUAACACAUGCAAGUCGAACGGCAGCACAGUAAGAGCUUGCUCUUACGGGUGGCGAGUGGCGGACGGGUGAGGAAUACAUCGGAAUCUACUUUUUCGUGGGGGAUAACGUAGGGAAACUUACGCUAAUACCGCAUACGACCUACGGGUGAAAGCAGGGGAUCUUCGGACCUUGCGCGAUUGAAUGAGCGGAUGUCGGAUUAGCUAGUUGGCGGGGUAAAGGCCCACCAAGGCGAGGAUCCGUAGCUGGUCUGAGAGGAUGAUCAGCCACACUGGAGGUGAGACACGGUCCAGACUCCUACGGGAGGCAGCAGUGGGGAAUAUUGGACAAUGGGCGCAAGCCUGAUCCAGCCAUACCGCGUGGGUGAAGAAGGCCUUCGGGUUGUAAAGCCCUUUUGUUGGGAAAGAAAAGCAGCAGGUUAAUACCCCGCUGUUCUGACGGUACCCAAAGAAUAAGCACCGGCUAACUUCGUG
Molecule: ribosomal RNA, 492 nt
Filed under: uncultured bacterium
Lineage: Bacteria
Description: partial 16S ribosomal RNA
Rfam family: Bacterial small subunit ribosomal RNA
Source: RNAcentral